This 161-nucleotide non-coding RNA is filed under the name Massiliimicrobium timonense. RNAcentral's name for it is "6S RNA". It matches the Rfam family "6S / SsrS RNA". From Rfam's summary of the family: E. coli 6S RNA was the first non coding RNA to be sequenced, but its function was unknown until recently. It consists of 184 nucleotides that fold into an extended hairpin structure with a large single-stranded internal bulge. Lineage: Bacteria; Bacillati; Bacillota; Erysipelotrichia; Erysipelotrichales; Erysipelotrichaceae. The record is from RNAcentral. RNAcentral also lists the same sequence under 1 other name.
AUUGACCUAAGAGAUAUAUGUAUUUCCUACACGAUAGAUAAGGGAAUCUGACUGUUGUCUAAUGGUGUUGAAAACCUGUCACGAAUAGGGAUCCUAAAAUUAGACACAAGAUACCCACCUGCAUAUACCAGGGAUUAAUCUAAAAAACUCUUAGGUUUUUC